Sapajus apella (tufted capuchin) is the source of this 103-nucleotide small nuclear RNA. NCBI's taxonomy places the organism in Eukaryota, Metazoa, Chordata, Mammalia, Primates, Cebidae. The record is from RefSeq and is a predicted model, not a curated record.
AUACUACCAAAAAAAAAUAAUAACAGUAAUUGGAAUGAUACAGAGAAUAGGAUGGUCCCUGCACAAGGAUGACAUCCAAAUUAGUGAAGCGUUCCAUUAAAAG